Molecule: unclassified non-coding RNA, 378 nt
Filed under: uncultured bacterium
Lineage: Bacteria
Description: contains 16S-23S intergenic spacer region
Source: RNAcentral
UCCGGUUUGUCACCGGCAGUCUCGCAUGAGUCCCCAACUGAAUGCUGGCAACAUGCGACGGGGGUUGCGCUUGUUGCGGGACUUAACCCAACAUCUCACGACACGAGCUGACGACAGCCAUGCAGCACCUGUGUUCCCGCCAGCCGAACUGAAGGAUCCCAUCUCUGGAACCCAUACGGGACAUGUCAAGGGCCGGUAAGGUUCUUCGCGUUGCAUCGAAUUAAACCACACGCUCCGCCGCUUGUGCGGGCCCCCGUCAAUUCCUUUGAGUUUCAACCUUGCGGUCGUACUCCCCAGGUGGCUCACUUAACGGUUUCCCUUGGACGCACACCAACAAGUGGCAUACGUCGAGUGAGCAUCGUUUAGGGCGUGGACUAC